AACGCUGAAGCCCGCAGCUUGCUGUGGGUGGAUGAGUGGCGAACGGGUGAGUAACACGUGAGUAACCUGCCCUUCACUCUGGGAUAAGCGCUGGAAACGGCGUCUAAUACCGGAUACGACCAGUCCUCGCAUGGGGUGCUGGUGGAAAGCUCCGGCGGUGAAGGAUGGACUCGCGGCCUAUCAGCUUGUUGGUGGGGUAAUGGCCUACCAAGGCGACGACGGGUAGCCGGCCUGAGAGGGCGACCGGCCACACUGGGACUGAGACACGGCCCAGACUCCUACGGGAGGCAGCAGUGGGGAAUAUUGCACAAUGGGCGCAAGCCUGAUGCAGCGACGCCGCGUGAGGGAUGACGGCCUUCGGGUUGUAAACCUCUUUCAGUUGGGACGAAGCCAGCUUGCUGGUGACGGUACCUUCAGAAGAAGCACCGGCUAACUACGUGCCAGCACCGACGGUAAUAA
Molecule: ribosomal RNA, 459 nt
Filed under: Kytococcus sedentarius
Lineage: Bacteria; Bacillati; Actinomycetota; Actinomycetes; Micrococcales; Kytococcaceae
Description: bacterial SSU rRNA
Rfam family: Bacterial small subunit ribosomal RNA
Source: RNAcentral